CCAAAGAAGAAUGCCUCGAGCUCGUCCUCUCAACAUAAGAACAAGGGGAAGAAGAUCGCUCCAUAAUCUCCCAUCUCGCACUUCAGUCCGAUGGUGGAGAGGGAGCUCGUAGUUGACCCCAACACAUACUUCAAGGCUGAGCGUAUCAUUUCAAAGAUCACGACCCAGGGGAGGGUAAAUAAGAUUAUGUUAAGCCACAACAUAGAGGUCGAAGCUGGAACUCUCCUUGUCCGUCCUGCGUUCGAAGGGGAACAGAGCUGUUCCCCUCUCCGAGACGACUUUGCGGCUUGGAGUGAUGAGCACUUGAAGGCUGGGGCCUUCCAUCCCAUGGACCAAUAUUUCGCAAAUUUCUUGAAUUACGCGAAGCUUGCUCCAUUCCAGCUCGCCCCAAAUUCGUAUACACUUUUGGUGGGGUUGAAGUACAUGUUUUUUAAGCGUAAGUAGGAGGUCCCCACCUCAGCAGACAUACUGUACUUCUUCUGCCUCAAAGCUAGCCCUGAUCAGAAAGGGCGAGGUGACGAAUUCUAUUACCUCAUGUGGUUUCCCAACUCCGCCCCUGUCAUCGAGCUUCAAAGUCAUCCAAAUGACUACAAAGACUUGUUCUUUAUGUCCAAUGGAUUCUAGAACUGCGAACAUCGAUACUUCAACUGACUUCCCAUAUUUGCGAGGACGGAAAAGUCUGUGACCCUUAGGGGCCAGUAUGAGAAGCUAUCUAGACUUCCCCCCAAUGAAAAGGACUAUCGCCAGGUCGUGAAUGAUGUCACGAUGCUGGCCUGCCAGUUGAUCAGUGAAGGUCAAAUAUAGGCCUUGCGGACUCGGGCUACCCUUCUGACGAUCCCCGAGCUCGCAUCCUCUUAAGAGGCCUUUCCGACCAUUGAGGACGAAGAGGACGAGCUGCCUUUAGUGUGAAAAAUGCGGGCUCUCGAGGCUAUCUGGGAACUCGAUCUAGAACGAGUUGCAUCAGGGGUAGCAGUCGGCCCCUCCGGCCAAGGUAACUCAUACCCCUUUAGGGAAUUAGAUAGGGCUGUUGCCGAUUUUAGGUUAGUUCGUUUUAACCCAAAUCAGCUCGUCUACAUUCAUUGAACCCCUUAGGAUCCUAGAAAUAUUAACUGUAGAUUCCCCUUCUCAUCCAUUAGUUCCAAGGUUGGAGGUCGUACCUAUUCCGGUCAAAACACCCGAGCUGGUGAUAAUAGACUCCUCCCCCAACCCAAAGGGUGAAGAGAUGGAACAACCAGGAGCCCCCGAUCUCCGAGCUGCUAUCUAGGCUAAGAAAGUCGGCUUGGGCCCCGUCGUAAAGAAUCCCAGGUUUACGAAGAAGGCCACCCCUGCAACGGGGAACACCUCAAAACCCCCCACCAAAAAUAAGGAGACGAGCUUGACUUGGGAGCCAACUCCUGUGGCUAAGGUUACUACCGAGCAACUUCCUCCUCCCCUACCUCGCUUCAUGGCCCCUCAAGUUAUACAGACCGAGGCGCCAAGACCCCACCGUCCGAAUACACCAGUAAACCCUCAGGACCUAGAGAAGAUCCCUGAAGCCUUUCGGGGUAUCGUUUAUGAGACUACGACUCACAUGGUGGGGCACGCCUACAACGUCAGCGUGAGGGAUUUGAGGACCAUCGAGGAACGUGCCGCCUUGACUUCUACUCAAGAAGGCGAGCAGGCCGCCAAAGCUGCUUUGACGGCUGCUCAGAAGAAUGAGCAUGAUGCCAGGGCUGCUCUCGCGUCAUCCCAAGAAAACGAGUAGGUUCCAAAGACUGCAUUGUUUGCCUCCCAAGCUCAAAUUGCACAACUUCAGGCCGAGGUUGAUGAGGUCAAAGCAAAGUUGCUCGAGGCUGAAGUCACAACCAAAGAAGAAAAAGCAACAUCAUCAUCGGCCAUGGAAGAGAUGUUGUACCAUUGUUGGGCCUUCAACUCGGAUGAGAACUUGUCUCUCAUGAAAUUCGGGCUGUGGGAUCCGUACCUUGCAAAAUUCAAGGCUCGGCUCUUGCAACAACUGUCAGAGACUGGUGAUGUGUUUGGAAUGACGGAGGGAGAUGGCGAGGAGGUCAUAUCUUCGGGGCGAGCUGAUGGAGCCCAAUGAUAUCCCCUUUGUAUUUAUUUUUUGUUUGUAAUUGUUUAACAUUUUUUUGAUAUUAAAAAAUUGCUUUCGGGCCCAGUUCGAGGUUUUUUCUCCUCAUGUAAU
Molecule: long non-coding RNA, 2182 nt
Organism: Humulus lupulus (European hop)
Lineage: Eukaryota; Viridiplantae; Streptophyta; Magnoliopsida; Rosales; Cannabaceae
Exons: 3
Source: RefSeq, a predicted model, not a curated record